CAUGCGUGCGUGUAUAUGUGUGUGAAUGUGUAUGUGUGUGUGUUUCCCAUCCUCCUUGUUUUUUACAGACCUGCACUGGGAACUUUCUUUUCAUCUUAGGGAAGGAGGAAUUAAGCUCUGAUUUAAUGGCAGAUACUUGGAACUCCAUUUGCUGAAUCCCCGUCUUUGUCUGAGGUCUUUCUGCUGUUCUGUAACACACCCUUGUAGACUGUGCUACUGUUCUGUACUUUGAUAUGCCAUUGCAGUAGGAUUCUGAGACAUUCUUCCUAUAGUCAGUCUCAGCAUUUACAAAAUCAUGGACAGUUAAAGGUGGACAAUAACUUAGGAAUGAACAAGCCCACUAAGCCCACAUAUUUAAUACUCCAUAAAUUCCAAAAAGGUCCUACCUGCAAUGUCUAACAGCCAAUGCAUUCUGUACACUCAAGACAAAUAAAAGGGGGUGCAGAGUCCACAGCCCCUCCAUGCUUGCUCUCACACAUUCAGUCUGGGUUGUGAAGAGGCCCUGUGAGUUCUAGAAAAGAAACUGAGGCAACUGAAGCAGCGAAGUGUAGCUCAGCAUAGGGUGGAAGCAAGAGAAGCAGCUAUUCAUGGAACAGACUGGAAUUCCUUAACCUGUGCAUAAACUCUGGUCCAGGUAGGUACAGGAUUGAGGAAUAUCAGCUCCAGCCCUGAAGCAUCUCUUUGGUGGCAUAUUUAAAGUUGCAGUGUGUCUUGUCAUCCCCAGAACUCAUGCAAGAUCUCUGGGUUUUGGCCAGGGGCUGUUGUUGCUUUCUCUUCGGGAGGGGAAAAAGAGAGAGGGAUGAGCAGUCUUUCUGUCAGCCAAGUGUCCCAGCAAAGAAUUCCACCCAAGUCUACACAGGCACUGACACCCGAGGGCCAUUGCCAUGCAGGUAAGCUGUCUCGGGUAAUUGGGUUGACAUCACUGAGCCACCUUAGAGAAGUUGAAUCCCUUCCAUGACUCCUGUCACCUGCCAUCUGAUAGCAACCCCCCCAGGUUUGCUGGUGAGUGACUGAUUAUGCAAAACAAAUGAAGGAAACUGAAAGGUCAUGAUUCUUCCACAGGGAAACUUUCCCUUAAGUUAUGACCCAGGUUUCCAAGCAGAAGCUAAGGGCUGAGACCCCAGUUACCUGCAAAUGGGUAUAGAAAAAUGAAGAAUCAUAGCAUUGAAAAUCCAUGGGAGUGGGAGGCACUUGGCCAGCUGCUCUGAGCCCCCAAGAAGAUGGAGAGAUGCUAUAUUCCUAAAGGAGUCUCUCAGUCUGCCUUGCUUUCCAUCUAACAGCCUACAAUUGUGCCUGAUUUCUCAGCUUCUCUGUGGGGCUGCCUAUUACUUGCUUGAAUCCAAGUCUCAUAAUCUCUCGUCAUCAGAAAGUCUUAUGUCCCUUAUCUUACACUGAGGUGCCUUUUAGUACACUUCUGCUGCCAUUGAACUUGGCACAGUAGCGUGCAUGACAUUGUUGUACUAUUCAUUCUAGCUCCCUCCUCAAGCUAUUGACUACACUAGGAUGGGAGCCUGGCUCUGCCAAGCUUUUACAAUAGGGCUUACAGGGUCCAGUUCAACAAGGACCUUCAAAACAUGUCAAUUAAUGAAUGUGGAGAAAGCACUCACAUGGAUAACCUCACUGCUAUCAUCACAUGGUUAAGAAGAUGAGUUUUUAUGCUUAGAGGAAAUAGUAUUUGAAUUCCCAUUUUAUAGAUGAGGGGCAGGCUUGGAGAGAAAGGAAAGCAAUGGAUACAUUUCUAGGACAUACUCAGUGCAUUCAUUCUGCUCAAUACUUUCAAGUCUAUCAUCACCCUUAUUCUCAUAACUGAGCUGAGUAAGUGAUUUUCCUCAGCUUUGAAAAGGCAUUAUUUUGAGUUUUGCAUUCUGCAAAAUCCAUGUGUCUCAGAAGAGAGUUGUUGGCCUUGGACAAAUGCAUUGAGUCCUUUGACCAGCAGUGCAAGCCCAACAUGGAGCUCUUCUAUCCCAAUGAUGCCCUUUGGAGAUAUUCUCUCCCUACUUGAUGCCAAUCACUGGAUAGUUCUUCAUCCCUACAGUGUAUAUAACCACACUUUUAGCCAACAACUCAUCAAGGCUCAGAGAGUUUAAGCAACUAACUCCUGGUAGGCAGCUAACAGGAUUAGAUUUCAUCUUUGAACCCAGCACUUUGGAUUCCUUGUGAAGGUGGAAAGUGGGAAUAUGGAGCCAAGGAAAACAGCUGUCACGUUUUUGUCUUUGAGAGAGGGCUCUGUCUCUUCUGGGCUCUCUUAGAGGCAAGCAAACAACCUCAUUACCAAAGGCAAUAUCUGAUCGUGUUCCGCCUCUGAUCACUCGUAGGUGGUGAAGGAAGACUCCCUCCCCAGUGGAACAAUCUGAAGCCAUGCCUAUCUGUAGGCUGCCCCGCAGACUGUGGUGUAAGGGCUUGGUCUCUUUCCAGUUCCUUUACUUAUCUGUAAGACAAGAGGGUACAGAGAAGAGGUCACCGGUAAACGUUUAGUCUCUCAAUUCAGCAGCUUCUCCACUAAAGCCUGGGGGCCCUUUGCCAGACGGGUGAGUCUGCAGAAAUGAAGGCCUGGGAGAAACUUGAAGAACCAGGAAAUUGGAAAUGAAUGACUAGACGCUCACUCUGCAAUCUAUGAAGAUCUCAGGAUAAGAAUUACUGAAUUCCUCCAUUUCUGAAUUACUGAAUGCCCUCCACUCCUACUGACAUUUUAGCACAUUCAUUCUUCCUGUAUAAAAUGAAAAUCAUGGCCCUCUUUAAGGAUCUGAGUGACAAGUUAAAAAAAACAGAAAAAUUCUCAGUAAUAAACAGGAUUUUCCCCCUACAUGUUAGGAUUAUAAAUGAACUUAUUAUUCAAUAUUUUCCUUCCUGAUUUUGUGUUUUAACACUGAAGUAUUUGUUGAUUUUAUACUAAAGAUCUAUGCAAUAAAAAUACAUCAUUCUGCAUGCA
This is a long non-coding RNA of Mesocricetus auratus (golden hamster), 2929 nucleotides long. RefSeq lists it as uncharacterized. The record is from RefSeq and is a predicted model, not a curated record. The transcript is spliced from 2 exons. NCBI's taxonomy places the organism in Eukaryota, Metazoa, Chordata, Mammalia, Rodentia, Cricetidae.